GAGAACCUUACUUGGAUAAGACAUAAAAGGGAUUGACGGAUUGAUUGUUCUUUCUUGAUUGUAUGGGUGGUGGUGCAUGGCCGUUCUUAGUUCGUGGAUUAAUUUGUCUGGUUAAUUCCGUUAACGAACGAGACUUUAACUCGCUAAUUCGUAUCAUGUGUUGUGUGCACAGAUGUUGAUUGGAAGGACUGCAUAUGCCUAAUAUGAGGAAGCGUGAAGCAAUAA
RNAcentral lists this ribosomal RNA (225 nucleotides) under uncultured eukaryote. Its description in RNAcentral is "partial 18S ribosomal RNA". It matches the Rfam family "Eukaryotic small subunit ribosomal RNA", at positions 1208 to 1456 of the family's 1831-position model. The record is from RNAcentral.